GCUUGCUAUAAUUUAUCAAUAUAAUUGAGAACUAGCACGAACAAAUUUUUUACUGAACAAGUUUCAAACAUGAACAAACAUUUCUGAACCAACUGGUAAUGAAGGUGAUCAGCCUUUCAUACCUGACUUAUACAUGCAAGAUGUACAGAGUACAAUUUUCAUGGCAAUCAGCAAUGAUUAACCAUAAGCUUGAAUAAAAC
RNAcentral lists this long non-coding RNA (200 nucleotides) under Panax ginseng (ginseng). RNAcentral's name for it is "long non-coding RNA (PGIN_LNC009908)". The record is from RNAcentral. Lineage: Eukaryota; Viridiplantae; Streptophyta; Magnoliopsida; Apiales; Araliaceae.